GUUUUUGCUACAUAGCAUUUUGCAGUUAGUUUUAUUUAAACAACAUUUUCUUUUAGUCUUACUAGAGAUUUUGCGUUUAUGGUAAUUACAUUCGAUGUUGUACUGAGGAAGUUUUGCUUCGCAUGCUACUGCUUUAUAUACUUUGAUAUCAGAUGGGAAUGCGCAAGCAAUUGUUGUUAUAUAUUGACUUUUCUGUGCAAAACGUCUCUUUACGACUACUUUACUCAUAAAUUAACAAGAAGUAAUCAAUCUUAUCGCUGAAAUUCAUGAUCACCAAAACGUCUUAAGUUUAGAAAAGCUUAAGCAAUAUUUUUAUACAAAUCAAUAGAUUCACAUAAAAUGAAACAGAGCAAUAAUAAAGCGACUCAAUUCUCAUUUCGU
This is a non-coding RNA of Schizosaccharomyces pombe (fission yeast), 381 nucleotides long. The record is from the annotation of a GenBank genome assembly. NCBI's taxonomy places the organism in Eukaryota, Fungi, Ascomycota, Schizosaccharomycetes, Schizosaccharomycetales, Schizosaccharomycetaceae.